This 253-nucleotide ribosomal RNA is filed under the name uncultured bacterium. RNAcentral's name for it is "partial 16S ribosomal RNA". It matches the Rfam family "Bacterial small subunit ribosomal RNA", at positions 524 to 776 of the family's 1533-position model. The record is from RNAcentral.
UACGUAGGGGGCAAGCGUUGUUCGGAUUCAUUGGGCGUAAAGGGUGCGUAGGCGGCGUGGUAAGUCGGGUGUGAAAUCUCGGAGCUUAACUCCGAAACUGCAUUCGAUACUGCCGUGCUUGAGGACUGGAGAGGAGACUGGAAUUUACGGUGUAGCGGUGAAAUGCGUAGAUAUCGUAAGGAAGACCAGUGGCGAAGGCGGGUCUCUGGACAGUUCCUGACGCUGAGGCACGAAGGCCAGGGGAGCAAACGGG